Molecule: ribosomal RNA, 253 nt
Filed under: uncultured bacterium
Lineage: Bacteria
Description: partial 16S ribosomal RNA
Rfam family: Bacterial small subunit ribosomal RNA
Source: RNAcentral
UACGUAGGGUGCGAGCGUUAAUCGGAAUUACUGGGCGUCAAGCGUGCGCAGGCGGUUUUGUAAGCCAGAUGUGAAAUCCCCGGGCUUAACCUGGGAAUGGCAUUUGGGACUGCAAGGCUUGAGUGCGGCAGAGGAGACUGGAAUUCCCGGUGUAGCAGUGAAAUGCGUAGAUAUCGGGAGGAAUACCGAUGGCGAAGGCAGGUCUCUGGGCUGACACUGACGCUCAUGCACGAAAGCGUGGGGAGCAAACAGG